UACGGAAGGCAGCAGUGGGGAAUAUUGCACAAUGGGCGCAAGCCUGAUGCAGCCAUGCCGCGUGUAUGAAGAAGGCCUUCGGGUUGUAAAGUACUUUCAGUCGUGAGGAAGGUGUUAAGGUUAAUAACCUUAGCAAUUGACGUUAGCGACAGAAGAAGCACCGGCUAACUCCGUGCCAGCAGCCGCGGUAAUACGGAGGGUGCGAGCGUUAAUCGGAAUUACUGGGCGUAAAGGGCACGCAGGCGGUUAAUUAAGUUGGAUGUGAAAUCCCCGGGCUUAACCUGGGAAUGGCAUUCAAGACUGGUUAGCUAGAGUCUUGUAGAGGGGGUAGAAUUCCAUGUGUAGCGGUGAAAUGCGUAGAGAUGUGGAGGAAUACCGGUGGCGAAGGCGGCCCCUGGGACAAAGACUGACGCUCAUGUGCGAAAGCGUGGGGAGCAAACAGGGAUUAGA
This 450-nucleotide ribosomal RNA is filed under the name uncultured bacterium. Its description in RNAcentral is "bacterial SSU rRNA". It matches the Rfam family "Bacterial small subunit ribosomal RNA", at positions 340 to 782 of the family's 1533-position model. The record is from RNAcentral.